GAACGCUGGCGGCGUGCCUAAUGCAUGCAAGUCGAGCGACGCAUGCCGGAGGGGUAACCCACUGGUAUGACGGAGCGGCGAACGGGUGAGUAACACUUGAGCAACCUGCCCCACAGACCGGGAUAGCCCAGGGAAACCUGGAUUAAUACCGGAUGACCUCACGGAAUCGCAUGAUUCGGUGAGGAAAUGCCUUUGUGCUGUGGGAUGGGCUCGAGGCUUAUCAGCUAGUUGGUGGGGUAACGGCCUACCAAGGCAUCGACGAGUAGCUGGUCUGAGAGGACGAUCAGCCACACUGGGACUGAGACACGGCCCAGACUCCUACGGGAGGCAGCAGCAGGGAAUCUUGCGCAAUGGGCGAAAGCCUGACGCAGCAACGCCGCGUGGGGGAUGAAGGCCUUCGGGUUGUAAACCCCUUUCAGGAGGGAAGAAAUUGACGGUACCUCCAAAAGAAGCACCGGCCAACUACGUGCCAGCAGCCGCGGUAAUACGUAGGGUGCGAGCGUUAUCCGGAAUCAUUGGGCGUAAAGAGCUCGUAGGCGGUUCAGCAAGUCGGCUGUGAAAUUCCGAGGCUCAACCUCGGAACUGCAGUCGAUACUGCUGUGACUCGAGUCCGGUAGAGGAGAAUGGAAUUCAGGGUGUAGCGGUGAAAUGCGCAGAUAUCCUGAGGAACACCAGUAGCGAAGGCGGUUCUCUGGGCCGGUACUGACGCUGAGGAGCGAAAGCGUGGGUAGCAAACAGGAUUAGAUACCCUGGUAGUCCACGCC
Molecule: ribosomal RNA, 764 nt
Filed under: uncultured bacterium
Lineage: Bacteria
Description: bacterial SSU rRNA
Rfam family: Bacterial small subunit ribosomal RNA
Source: RNAcentral